Molecule: ribosomal RNA, 253 nt
Filed under: uncultured bacterium
Lineage: Bacteria
Description: partial 16S ribosomal RNA
Rfam family: Bacterial small subunit ribosomal RNA
Source: RNAcentral
UACGUAGGGAGCAAGCGUUGUCCGGAAUCAUUGGGCGUAAAGCGCGCGUAGGUGGCCUCAUAAGUCCGCUGUGAAAGUCAAAGGCUCAACCUUUGAAAGCCGGUGGAUACUGUGAGGCUAGAGUACGGAAGAGGCGAGUGGAAUUCCUGGUGUAGCGGUGGAAUGCGCAGAUAUCAGGAGGAACACCAAUGGCGAAGGCAGAUCUCUGGGCCGUAACUGACGCUGAGGAGCGAAAGCAUGGGGAGCGAACAGG